UUCCGGUUGAUCCUGCCGGAAGUCACUGCUAUUGGGGUUCGAUUAAGCCAUGCGAGUCGACUGCUCGAGGCAGGGCAGACGGCUCAGUAACACGUGGGUAAUCUACCCUCGGGUCUGGGAUAACCCCGGAAAACUGGGGAUAAUACCGGAUAGAUGGAGAGGUCUGGAAAGAUUUUCCGUCCAAAGCCCCGGCGCCCGAGGAUGAGCUUGCGGUCGAUUAGGCUGUUGGCGGUGUUAAGGACCACCAAACCUGAGAUCGAUAUGGGCAGUGAGAGCUGGAGCCCGGAGAUGGGGACUGAGACACGGCCCCAGGCCCUACGGGGCGCAGCAGGCGCGAAAACUCCGCAAUGUUCGAAAGAGCGACGGGGGAACCCCAAGUGCCAUCUUUUUUGGUGGGGCUUUUGUGUAGCGUAAAUAACUACACGAAUAAGGGCUGGGUAAGACCGGUGCCAGCCGCCGCGGUAACACCGGCGGCUCAAGUGGUGACCGCUUUUAUUGGGCCUAAAGCGUUCGUAGCCGGUUCGGUAAGUCUUUGGGUAAAUCUUGCUGCUUAACAGUAAGAAUUCCGAAGAUACUGCCGGGCUAGGGACCGAGAGAGGUCGGAGGUACUCCUGGGGUAGAGGUGAAAUUCUGUAAUCCUGGGGGGACCACCAGUGGCGAAGGCGUCCGACUAGAGCGGGUCCGACGGUGAGGGGCGAAAGCCAGGGGAGCGAACCGGAUUAGAUACCCGGGUAGUCCUGGCCGUAAACGCUGUGGGCUAGGUGUUGCAUGCUCUACGGGGGCAUGCAGUGCCGAAGAGAAGUUGAUAAGCCUACCGCCUGGGAAGUAUUACUGCAAGGUAGAAACUUAAAGGAAUUGGCGGGGGAGCACCACAAGGGGUGGAGUCUGCGGUUCAAUUGGAUUCAACGCCGGA
RNAcentral lists this ribosomal RNA (913 nucleotides) under uncultured archaeon. Its description in RNAcentral is "bacterial SSU rRNA". It matches the Rfam family "Archaeal small subunit ribosomal RNA", at positions 1 to 922 of the family's 1478-position model. The record is from RNAcentral.